GGGUAAUUUCUUAAGAAAAAGAGGUUUCCUCAUGGGGGCCCAGUGUGCAAUGGCUGCAAACAGCAGCUUCCCUGGUAGUGAUGCAGCCUGUUUGUUGUAUGGGUUGCUCUAAGGGACCUUGGAGACAGAC
Small nucleolar RNA from Piliocolobus tephrosceles (Ugandan red Colobus), 130 nucleotides. Its record names the gene SNORA70. It matches the Rfam family "Small nucleolar RNA SNORA70". From Rfam's summary of the family: snoRNA U70 seems to be exclusive to mammals and is a member of the H/ACA class of snoRNA which contain H (ANANNA) and ACA box motifs. H/ACA box snoRNAs are involved in the conversion of uridines to pseudouridines (5-ribosyluracil) a constituent of structural RNAs (transfer, ribosomal, small nuclear, and small nucleolar). NCBI's taxonomy places the organism in Eukaryota, Metazoa, Chordata, Mammalia, Primates, Cercopithecidae. The record is from Ensembl.